RNAcentral lists this long non-coding RNA (2058 nucleotides) under Meleagris gallopavo (turkey). RNAcentral describes it as "lncRNA (ENSMGAG00000022013.1)". The record is from RNAcentral. Lineage: Eukaryota; Metazoa; Chordata; Aves; Galliformes; Phasianidae.
UUUACUGUCAGUAACUGUCCCAAAGGAGCAAAUAAGGAAGCUGUAACAUAUUGCGUACAGUAAAUCAAGGGGACUUCAAUGGAAAAACGAAACCUCCCCGAGGCAAGCAUCUUUAAAAUUACAGGCAACACUUUGUACAAAUAUGUGUACAAAGGACUAGAUAUGCACUCGGUUAAGCAACUCAAAAUGGUUUUGAUUUGAAGAUAUAUUUAUUAGAAUUUAUUUAUUGUGUUUUGUGAGCGGUAAUGGGGGAGGGGGUCAUCUUGCUGGGCUCACCAGCAACUGCUGUGCAACUUUGGAUUCAUCGUCUGUGAUGCAAAACAGGCAAAAGUGGAGAGAUGGGGGGAGAGAGCGAGCGCCGAGUUGGUGCUUUGUGAAGUUCCAUAUUGCUCUGGAUUUCAGAGACAGAUGCUGCUUCAUGUACCCAGGAUCUCUUUCAAAUUCAGCUAAUUCAGAUCAGGAAGCUGACCCAACUCAUCAUUUGUUGCACAACGACUGGAGCUGGCAGGACAGGGAACUGCAGCCAGAAACCGCAAGUAAUGCUCGUUUGGCACCAAUAUGGUCUUCGGUGGACUUCAGGAUUUGAUUUUAUAAUGCACUAAUUAGCACCAAGGACAGUGGUUAAUAAAAAAGCACCUUCAGUAGUUUGAAAAACAACAUGGCGUGGUAUUCCAGGACCCAGCUGCAGAUGGUCAUGCUUAGAACCAUCUAAGCAUCCUAUGGAAAGGAUUGUUAGUUUAAACUGACCACGAGAGGUGGUUUGCCACCACUAUAGGUAGAAAAGCGAGGCAUAGAAUAACUGAAUAAAACACAAAAUAAAACUGUAAGGUAAAGUCAAUAGAGAAUUCCCAUUGUGCUUCCUUUUACCAAUUUCUCCAGUAUUUUUCAGAACAGACUAGAAAAAUAUUAAAAAAAAAAAAGUUUAAUGACAAUUUACAAAUAUACAAUACUUACAUUUUCAAAAGUUACAAAAAUGGUACUUUAACAGAAACCAAAAGCUUCAUCUGACCUUUGGUACAUUUCAAAAUUAGUUAUUUACAAAGAAAAAAAUCACAGUCACUUUUCAUAGUGUCAAUGUUUACAUGUAAGCAUCCCUCAGUUAAAAAACAUCUCACAGCUUACCCACAGGCACUUUUUGCAGUUUGAGCUCUGCACCCAUCCAUCACAUUGAGAAUUCUAUCAGCCCCCGUUAAGCUGACAUGACAUUGCAUUAUUAUGUUUUAACAGACUUUAGUUUGAAGAAUAUGUAUAACCAUCACGCUAAACUGAUUCACAGUUGGUGACAUUUCACCUGGUGCAUUUUGUAUUGCUUAUGGCUUGGUACAAUGACACAGGCUUCCUUUUCUAAUUAGCUUGUAAUACACGUUAAGAAAAAAAAAAAUGGACUAAUUUUAUUAGGUAGUAUAAUUCCAUCUCUUCAUAGAGGAAAUUAAAAACAAAAGUGUUCUUCCCAUGCUGUUAUUUCACCUCAUGAAAUUUGUAUAUUAAACCCUUUCUUCACCAUGCACAAUUUUUGCCUAAAGGUAACAGACAAACAGAUGAAGGCUUCCAAAACCUAUUCAUUUCUAUUACUUUUCCCAUUAGUGGACGUUUUCUAGUUUGAACUUAUUUUAACUCAAACUUUAGAAAUUUCCCUUGAGAGCAAACACAAGUAUUGUUUUGUCUGUGUGUGCUUGAGUGUCUUCCUUUAGUUUAAAAUAUUUCCAAUAAAAGAAAUACAGCCAAAAUACAUACAGCCCAUUUUUGAAGCCUCUAACUUAUUAGCGUACACAAUUUUUUCACGUGGUCAUGAUUUUUAGAGCAUGUAACUUCAAUGCGUAACAGAAUGGGAACUCAAAAAGCCUUGAAAUUCAUUGUUUUGAGGACAGUUUGGGACUACACGUUUCCCACAGGUAUGUUUUAGUUAAGACUAAAUACCACCAGAAUAUUAGUUACGGUUCAGGAUCAGGAUCUUUUUUUAAACCAAGAAAUAAGAAAAGCUUGCUGUCAGCAACUGUGGGUGCAGCUUAAAAUGUCUUCCAUCGUUACAACAUUGCCCUCCCAAGAACUUAGAAACUC